ACGCCCGUAGUAUACCUAAGAGUGGGUGUGUAGUAAUUAGUUUUACCAGAGGACGGUUGGCGAGAGUUUAUCACUCUUGUUUGCCUACUUUUGGUAGACUUUAGUCGGGCUGGAUCUUUGGUCCUCGUCUGACAGUUGCUACGUACUUACUUACCACGGUUCAUCCGUGAGGCCCUUGGCUUGCAACUGUAAAUAAAUCGUUGUGCUUAAAGCGGGCUAUGAUACUCUGCCAGAGCGAUUUAGCAUGGGACUGCAGAGUAGCUGUAUUUGAGCGAAGGUUGCACCUCGGUGUGGCUGGAGCUUGGUACAGCGCUUGUAAUGGAGCUCAGGGUGAGGCCCCGGGUACCAUGAGGCUAGAGGUGAAAUUCUGAGACCCUCAUGUGACCAACUAAGGCGAAAGCUGUCGUGGGCCACCACAAGCUCGUCUAUCAGGGACGAAAGUUGGGGGAUCGAAGACGAUUAGAUACCGUCGUAGUCCCAACUAUAAACGAUACCAACCGAGUAUUUGGGAAGACACUAUCCCAGCGAUCUUCUCAGAACUCAAGGGAAACCUUAAGUCUUUGGGUUCUGGGGGGAGUAUAGUCGCAAGACCGAAACUUAAAGGAAUUGACGGAAAGGCACCACCAGGAGUGGAGUCUGCGGCUUAAUUCGACUCAACACGGGGAAACUCACCAGGUCAGGACACAAGUUUGAUUGACAGGUUAAUAGCCCUUUCUUGAUUGUGUGGUGGGUAGUGCAUGGCCGUUUCCAGUUCGUGGAGUGAUCUGUCUUGUUAAUUCAGAUAACGAACGAGACCUAAGCCUUUAACUAGCCGUAGGCCUUUUCCUUCGGGGAAGGGUUAGUUUGUCGGAACAGGUUUCGGCCUGUUCCAAAACCUACGAGACUUUUGUCAGCUUCUUAAAGGGACUUCAUUCGUAAACUAGGAUGAGGAAGAUUUAGGCCAUAACAGGUCUGUGAUGCUCUUAGAUGUCCUGGGCUGCACGCGUACUACAAUAACGGUACCAGCGAGCGCUAUGGUUUUAUAACCCCUUAUCCUAAUAGGAUUGGGAAAACUUUUCAAACACCGUUAUGACAGGGAUCGAGGAUUGGAACAUCCUCGUGAACGAGGAAUUCCUAGUAAGCGUGGUUCAUCAUACCACAUUGAUUACGUCCCUGCCUUUUGUACACACCGCCCGUCGCUCCUACCGAUGGGACGAAGAGAUGAACCUGGCGGACCGAACCGCAAGGUAAGGGAAACCAGUUAAAUCUCUUCGUCUGUAGGAAGGAAAAGUCGUAACAAGGUCUUCGUAGGUGAACCUGCGUAGG
Molecule: ribosomal RNA, 1305 nt
Filed under: Naegleria gruberi
Lineage: Eukaryota; Heterolobosea; Eutetramitea; Acrasida; Naegleriidae
Description: SSU rRNA
Rfam family: Eukaryotic small subunit ribosomal RNA
Source: RNAcentral